This is a long non-coding RNA of Bombus terrestris (buff-tailed bumblebee), 875 nucleotides long. RefSeq lists it as uncharacterized. The record is from RefSeq and is a predicted model, not a curated record. The transcript has 2 exons. NCBI's taxonomy places the organism in Eukaryota, Metazoa, Arthropoda, Insecta, Hymenoptera, Apidae.
AAUCAUCAUAAUUUAAUAAUUUGUUAUUAGAUCCUAGUAAUAUUUCAGAAAUUUUCUUUAUAAGGAUCAAUGAAAUAUGAACUUUGUAGUCUAUGUUAAAUAAUUGUCUUAUCUUAAUACUUGAAUUAUAUUUUAUUAACGAGUAAAGAAAGGAAAAUUUAAAAGGCAUACGUAUAAGAAAAUUCAAAGAGGUAUAACUUAAUGUAAACGAGACUAUUCAGGAUCUAAACUCUAAACAGCAGCCACAUGGAACGUUCACGCUUGUCAGAAUAAAUUAACGGAAUAAAAGUCAACGAUACCCUAAUGAUACCAUUGUGCUUCUAUGUUCUGGCAAUUUAUGCGCAUUUGAGAAUUUUCGACGAACCAAAACGGACGUUAUGCGUUGAAUAGCCGUGAAAGUGAACCCUCCGCCAGACACAAGACAAUCUUUCUCGUAUCCCUGAAAAGGGUCUACAAGAAUUUUGAAAGAAAUUCGAGCGACUGAAAAUCGAAAACUGUAAUAGCUUCAAUAUGUUGGGAAUAUAUAAGAUGAUCUAUAUUUACAAAAUGAAAAAGAAUGCAUAUAAAAUGAGGUUAGAAACUUUGUCGAUUUGAGACAUAUGCUAUAUGUAUAUAAUGUUAACUCUCUUAAGGUGAUUAACAAAUUUCAUCUAUUUAGAUUAAUUACAAUUAUUUCCCUUAAAGAAUUAUAAAUAAUUGAAACGUGGUACUCGUUUAAUAUCAUGGGAAAGAAAGAUUGAAGCAAACGUUUGUGUUAUUGAAUAAUUUAGUUUUGGAAGGUUUCUUCAAAACACAAAAUAGUGAAAAGAAACUUUGUAUAUCGUUUAUUAUAGUAUUACUGAGUUAAUUACCAAAUAAAAUAUUACUAAAUAUCA